ACUGGAUGUGGUGGCCAGCACCUGUAAUCCCAGCUACUUGGGAGGCUGAGGCUGGAGGAUCACUUGAACCUAGGAGUUCUGAGCUAUAUAGUGCACUAUGCCAAUCGGGUAUCUGCACAAGUUUCGGCAUCAAUAUGGUGACCUCCCGGAAGCAGGGAACCACCAGCUUGCCUAAGGAGGAGUGAACUGGCCCAGGUCAGAAACGGAGCAGGUCAAAACUCCAGUGCUGAUCAGUAGUGGGAUGGUGCCUGUGAAUAGCCACUGCACUCCAGCCUGGGCAACAUAGCCAGACCCCGUCUCU
This 301-nucleotide signal recognition particle RNA is filed under the name Saimiri boliviensis boliviensis (Bolivian squirrel monkey). Its description in RNAcentral is "Metazoan signal recognition particle RNA (ENSSBOG00000002851.1)". It matches the Rfam family "Metazoan signal recognition particle RNA". Rfam says of the family: The signal recognition particle (SRP) is a universally conserved ribonucleoprotein. Lineage: Eukaryota; Metazoa; Chordata; Mammalia; Primates; Cebidae. The record is from RNAcentral.